AAAAAGUCGAAUAAAUAUAAAAAAUAAUAUUUGCCAGACGACUCCUUUUUGCGAUUACGAGGCGCCGGCCGUGUGGCCAGCGUUUUUGGGUUUCGUCGGGCUGUGGGAUCGGGUGAAAUUAUGGCAUAAGUUACUUAGGAGUAAAGCUGGUUUCCUCCUCCUGCUCCUGCUUCUGCUCCCCGGAACUCCCACACCAUUCACAGCCAGCCACCCACUUUCCAGCCCCCCGACGGCGUCAACUUGGCUACACUUUACUUUUAUGUGGCGCGCUCGGAAUGUACUCGCUGGCGAAAUAAAGAUACAGAUACAGAGAUACGCAGAGAGUGCCCAGAUACAAGCACAUUUGUAGCGAUAAGCGUCAUAAAGUUAUCCUUAAGGAAGUUUGCCAAACGCCUCACCAAGGGUAUUAAAAGUCAAGAAGGAAACGCAACGCAGCCACAAGUUGAAGGCAUCUUUGGACUUGGAGGGGCGGACACAAAUAAAACUAUGACAAGGACGUAACUUUUAGCACUCCCAUCAGACAUUCCCCACUGGAUCGGGCUUCUGGGUUGUGGGGUCCAGCAGCAAGUCAAUUACGCACUGCCAGCCAAGUUUCGCGCUUUGUUUCUCCCGGAUUUGUCAGUUUAAUGAAUGCUUUCCCAGCGAAUCGACGUAUCUGCUAAAUGGCGAAGGGGAAUCCGUGAUAUUUAUUCGCCCUGACUGACCGAAGCAUGAUAAGUCCAAGCAGCUGUCUUCCUUUAAACUUGGUAUGGGGCCAAAUAGUUAUGCCAUUAAUAGCAGACCCCUUCCGUGAACUGAGAGUCAAAUCCAAUUAGUGGAGUUGAGUUAAUUAUUUAAAACUAUUGUGGUUUGGGAAGGAAUGGUUUUCGCCCAGUAGUAUUAAAAAAGCUUUAUAUUUUA
Drosophila mauritiana is the source of this 900-nucleotide long non-coding RNA. RefSeq lists it as uncharacterized. The transcript is spliced from 3 exons. The record is from RefSeq and is a predicted model, not a curated record. Lineage: Eukaryota; Metazoa; Arthropoda; Insecta; Diptera; Drosophilidae.